Molecule: ribosomal RNA, 494 nt
Filed under: uncultured bacterium
Lineage: Bacteria
Description: partial 16S ribosomal RNA
Rfam family: Bacterial small subunit ribosomal RNA
Source: RNAcentral
ACGAACGCUGGCGGCGUGCCUAAUACAUGCAAGUAGAACGCUGAAGGAGGAGCUUGCUUCUCUGGAUGAGUUGCGAACGGGUGAGUAACGCGUAGGUAACCUGCCUGGUAGCGGGGGAUAACUAUUGGAAACGAUAGCUAAUACCGCAUAAGAGUAGAUGUUGCAUGACAUUUGCUUAAAAGGUGCAAUUGCAUCACUACCAGAUGGACCUGCGUUGUAUUAGCUAGUUGGUGAGGUAACGGCUCACCAAGGCGACGAUACAUAGCCGACCCGAGAGGGUGAUCGGCCACACUGGGACUGAGACACGGCCCAGACUCCUACGGGAGGCAGCAGUAGGGAAUCUUCGGCAAUGGACGGAAGUCUGACCGAGCAACGCCGCGUGAGUGAAGAAGGUUUUCGGAUCGUAAAGCUCUGUUGUAAGAGAAGAACGAGUGUGAGAGUGGAAAGUUCACACUGUGACGGUAUCUUACCAGAAAGGGACGGCUAACUACGUG